This 424-nucleotide ribosomal RNA is filed under the name uncultured bacterium. Its description in RNAcentral is "partial 16S ribosomal RNA". It matches the Rfam family "Bacterial small subunit ribosomal RNA", at positions 360 to 775 of the family's 1533-position model. The record is from RNAcentral.
AAUCUUCCGCAAUGGACGAAAGUCUGACGGAGCAACGCCGCGUGAACGAUGAAGGUCUUCGGAUCGUAAAGUUCUGUUGUUAGGGAAGAACAAGUACCGUGCGAAUAGAGCGGUACCUUGACGGUACCUAACGAGGAAGCCCCGGCUAACUACGUGCCAGCAGCCGCGGUAAUACGUAGGGGGCAAGCGUUGUCCGGAAUUAUUGGGCGUAAAGCGCGCGCAGGCGGUUUCUUAAGUCUGAUGUGAAAGCCCACGGCUCAACCGUGGAGGGUCAUUGGAAACUGGGGAACUUGAGGACAGAAGAGGAGAGUGGAAUUCCACGUGUAGCGGUGAAAUGUGUAGAUAUGUGGAGGAACACCAGUGGCGAAGGCGACUCUCUGGUCUGUUUCUGACGCUGAGGUGCGAAAGCGUGGGUAGCAAACAG